UAUUCAGCACUACGAAGAAAUGGUCUAUC
RNAcentral lists this non-coding RNA (29 nucleotides) under Homo sapiens (human). The record is from RNAcentral. Lineage: Eukaryota; Metazoa; Chordata; Mammalia; Primates; Hominidae.